Molecule: transfer RNA, 80 nt
Filed under: Allostigmatella aurantiaca DW4/3-1
Lineage: Bacteria; Pseudomonadati; Myxococcota; Myxococcia; Myxococcales; Archangiaceae
Description: Stigmatella aurantiaca DW4/3-1 tRNA-Pro
Rfam family: tRNA
About the family: Transfer RNA (tRNA) molecules are approximately 80 nucleotides in length. Their secondary structure includes four short double-helical elements and three loops (D, anti-codon, and T loops).
Source: RNAcentral
CGGGGCGUAGCGCAGCCUGGUAGCGCACUUGCUUGGGGUGCAAGUGGUCGCAGGUUCAAAUCCUGUCGCCCCGACCAUCG